This 358-nucleotide ribosomal RNA is filed under the name uncultured bacterium. Its description in RNAcentral is "bacterial SSU rRNA". It matches the Rfam family "Bacterial small subunit ribosomal RNA", at positions 32 to 368 of the family's 1533-position model. The record is from RNAcentral.
AAUCAACGCUGGCGGCGUGCCUAACACAUGCAAGUCGAACGCGAAAGUUCCUUCGGGAAUGAGUAGAGUGGCGUCCGGGUGAGUAACGCGUGGGUAAUCUGCCGUUUGGGUGGGGAAUAACUCAGGGAAACUUGAGCUAAUACCGCAUAAUGCAGCGGCUCGACAUCGAGACAGUUAGUUAAAGCUCCUCGCAAGGAGGGGCGACCUAAAGAGGAGCCUGCGUCUGAUUAGCUAGUUGGUGAGGUAAUGGCUCACCAAGGCUACGAUCAGUAGCUGGUCUGAGAGGACGGCCAGCCACAAUGGCACUGAAACGACGGGCCAUACUCCUACGGGAGGCAGCAGGUGGGGUAAUUUUGCG